AUUGAACGCUGGCGGCAGGCCUAACACAUGCAAGUCGAGCGGAUGAAGGGAGGUUGCUCCUGGAUUCAGCGGCGGACGGGGGAGUAAUGCCUAGGAAUCUGCCUGGUAGUGGGGGAUAACGUCAGGAAACGGGCGCUAAUACCGCAUACGUCCUGAGGGAGAAAGUGGGGGAUCUUCGGACCUCACGCUAUCAGAUGAGAGUAGGUCGGAUUAGGUAGUUGGUGGGGUAAAGGCCUACCAAGGCGACGAUCCGUAACUGGUCUGAGAGGAUGAUCAGUCACACUGGAACUGAGACACAGUCCAGACUCCUACGGGACGCAUCAGUGUAGCAUCUUGCACAAUGGUCAAAAGCCUAAUCCACCCAUGCCUCGUGUGUGAAGAAGGUCUUCUGAUUGUAAAGCACUUUAAGUUGGGAGUAAUUGCACUAAGUUAAUACCUUGCUGUUUUAACGUUACCAACACAAUAAGCACCGGCUAACUUCGUG
This 484-nucleotide ribosomal RNA is filed under the name uncultured bacterium. Its description in RNAcentral is "partial 16S ribosomal RNA". It matches the Rfam family "Bacterial small subunit ribosomal RNA", at positions 30 to 507 of the family's 1533-position model. The record is from RNAcentral.